UACGUAGGGCGCAAGCGUUAUCCGGAAUUAUUGGGCGUAAAGAGCUCGUAGGCGGUUUGUCGCGUCUGCCGUGAAAGUCCGGGGCUCAACUCCGGAUCUGCGGUGGGUACGGGCAGACUAGAGUGAUGUGGGGAGACUGGAAUUCCUGGUGUAGCGGUGAAAUGCGCAGAUAUCAGGAGGAACACCGAUGGCGAAGGCAGGUCUCUGGGCAUUAACUGACGCUGAGGAGCGAAAGCAUGGGGAGCGAACAGG
This 252-nucleotide ribosomal RNA is filed under the name uncultured bacterium. RNAcentral's name for it is "partial 16S ribosomal RNA". It matches the Rfam family "Bacterial small subunit ribosomal RNA", at positions 524 to 776 of the family's 1533-position model. The record is from RNAcentral.